AUUGAACGCUGGCGGCAUGCUUUACACAUGCAAGUCGAACGGUAACAGGCCGCAAGGUGCUGACGAGUGGCGAACGGGUGAGUAAUGCAUCGGAACGUGCCCAGUCGUGGGGGAUAACUACUCGAAAGAGUAGCUAAUACCGCAUACGAUCUAUGGAUGAAAGCGGGGGACCGUAAGGCCUCGCGCGAUUGGAGCAGCCGAUGUCAGAUUAGGUAGUUGGUGGGGUAAAGGCUCACCAAGCCAACGAUCUGUAGCUGGUCUGAGAGGACGACCAGCCACACUGGGACUGAGGCACGGCCCAGACUCCUACGGGAGGCAGCAGUGGGGAAUUUUGGACAAUGGGCGCAAGCCUGAUCCAGCAAUGCCGCGUGCAGGAAGAAGGCCCUCGGGUUGUAAACUGCUUUUGUACGGAACGAAACGGCUCUGGUUAAUACCCGGGGCUAAUGACGGUACCGUAAGAAUAAGCACCGGCUAACUACGUG
RNAcentral lists this ribosomal RNA (482 nucleotides) under uncultured bacterium. RNAcentral's name for it is "partial 16S ribosomal RNA". It matches the Rfam family "Bacterial small subunit ribosomal RNA", at positions 30 to 507 of the family's 1533-position model. The record is from RNAcentral.